UACAGAGGUCUCAAGCGUUGUUCGGAUUCAUUGGGCGUAAAGGGUGCGUAGGCGGCGCGGUAAGUCGGGUGUGAAAUCUCGGGGCUUAACUCCGAAACUGCAUUCGAUACUGCCGUGCUUGAGGACUGGAGAGGAGACUGGAAUUUACGGUGUAGCAGUGAAAUGCGUAGAUAUCGUAAGGAAGACCAGUGGCGAAGGCGGAUCUCUGGGCCAUUACUGACGCUGAGGAGCGAAAGCGUGGGGAGCGAACAGG
Molecule: ribosomal RNA, 253 nt
Filed under: uncultured bacterium
Lineage: Bacteria
Description: partial 16S ribosomal RNA
Rfam family: Bacterial small subunit ribosomal RNA
Source: RNAcentral